RNAcentral lists this ribosomal RNA (767 nucleotides) under Brevibacterium sp. RNAcentral's name for it is "bacterial SSU rRNA". It matches the Rfam family "Bacterial small subunit ribosomal RNA", at positions 31 to 806 of the family's 1533-position model. Lineage: Bacteria; Bacillati; Actinomycetota; Actinomycetes; Micrococcales; Brevibacteriaceae. The record is from RNAcentral.
GAACGCUGGCUGCGUGCUUAACACAUGCAAGUCGAACGCUGAAGCCCUCAGCUUGCUGGGGGUGGAUGAGUGGCGAACGGGUGAGUAACACGUGAGUAACCUGCCCCUGACUUCGGGAUAAGCCCGGGAAACUGGGUCUAAUACCGGAUAUGAGCAUGGCCCGCAUGGGUGGUGCUGGAAAGUUUUUCGGUUGGGGAUGGGCUCGCGGCCUAUCAGCUUGAUGGUGGGGUAAUGGCCUACCAUGGCGACGACGGGUAGCCGGCCUGAGAGGGCGACCGGCCACACUGGGACUGAGACACGGCCCAGACUCCUACGGGAGGCAGCAGUGGGGAAUAUUGCACAAUGGGGGAAACCCUGAUGCAGCGACGCAGCGUGCGGGAUGACGGCCUUCGGGUUGUAAACCGCUUUCAGCAGGGAAGAAGCCUGACGGUGACGGUACCUGCAGAAGAAGUACCGGCUAACUACGUGCCAGCAGCCGCGGUAAUACGUAGGGUACAAGCGUUGUCCGGAAUUAUUGGGCGUAAAGAGCUCGUAGGUGGUUGGUCGCGUCUGCUGUGGAAACGCAACGCUUAACGUUGCGCGUGCAGUGGGUACGGGCUGACUAGAGUGCAGUAGGGGAGUCUGGAAUUCCUGGUGUAGCGGUGAAAUGCGCAGAUAUCAGGAGGAACACCGGUGGCGAAGGCGGGACUCUGGGCUGUAACUGACACUGAGGAGCGAAAGCAUGGGGAGCGAACAGGAUUAGAUACCCUGGUAGUCCAUGCCGUAAA